CUGUAGAUGAUUUUCAUUCCUCUCCUGUGGUGAGAAGUUGAACAUGGAAUAGUCAUCCAUUUAUAACAAAAUAUCUUUGUUAAUGCCUCAAGGAGCCCGACCCACUCUUGGGACUUUGGUCCUUUAAGCAAAAUGUCCAUAUAGGACCAAAGAUUCAGGUUUAAUAACUUAACACAUGAUAAAGACUGGUUUUGAACAAUCAGCUAACUGUGAAGAACUUGAGUUCAGUUGGUCCAUCAGACCAGGAAAGUUGACUAACCAAGUGAAUUAGACAACAAAGAAAACACACACAAUUCAAGAUCCUAACGCUAAUGAACAACAAUGUCCUUCCUGAAAGAGAGAAGCCUGUUGGUGAAGAACAAUUUUCUCUCUGGAAUUGAUGUUUUAUCGAGACAUGCGGCACAGAUCAGUGCUGAAAUACAACAGGGUGAGAGAAGAAACUAUAACGAGGUGCUUGAUUUGUCUUCUGGAGAUCUGCACAGAGGAGGAAUAAAACCCAUCACCUUUGUUCGUCAAGUUAUACCAGAUGAACCAACGAUUAUCCUAAUUUACGUUAGCUUGGCUUUAAACAUUUACAGAUCAACAGAAACUCUAUGCAGAUAAGUUUUAAAACACAACUUCUCAAUCGAUGUAGUUUUAACAUAAAACUGAUCAUAGAUGAACUUCUUGCAUUUCUUUUAGGUAUUUUUCAUCAAUUAAUUCUCUAAAUCUUUCUCUGGGGGCGGAGUCAGUGCCUCUGCAUGGUUUCUCUGAUUGGAUGACUAACAUCUGCAGUGCUAGUUCCAAAUUUAAUUGGAUGAAUUUUGCCGCAGUAAUAUCCAUAUUAGUACUAUGAUUAAUAAAGAAUUAUAUUUUCUUUCA
Molecule: long non-coding RNA, 861 nt
Organism: Cyprinus carpio (common carp)
Lineage: Eukaryota; Metazoa; Chordata; Actinopteri; Cypriniformes; Cyprinidae
Source: Ensembl